CGCCCAUACCGAGCCCGGUGAUGCUAACCGUCCGAACCGAUGCACCGUGGCCUUCGGGCCGCACCGCCACCGGGGAGCACGGGACCCGAACCGGUAGUAGGUAAGCGUAUUAACA
Molecule: ribosomal RNA, 115 nt
Filed under: Cellulomonas gelida
Lineage: Bacteria; Bacillati; Actinomycetota; Actinomycetes; Micrococcales; Cellulomonadaceae
Description: 23S ribosomal RNA
Source: RNAcentral